Molecule: ribosomal RNA, 460 nt
Filed under: uncultured bacterium
Lineage: Bacteria
Description: partial 16S ribosomal RNA
Rfam family: Bacterial small subunit ribosomal RNA
Source: RNAcentral
CCUACGGGAGGCAGCAGUGAGGAAUAUUGGUCAAUGGACGAGAGUCUGAACCAGCCAAGCAGCGUGAAGGAUGACUGCCUUAUGGUUUGUAAACUUUUUUUAUAAAGGAAUAAAACGAGGCACGUGUGCAUUUUUGCAUGAACUUUAUGUAUAAGGCUCGGCUAACUCCGUGCCAGCAGCCGCGGUAAUACGGCGGAUCCGAUCGUUAUCCGGAUUGAUUGGGGUUAAAGGGAGCGUAGAUGGGUGGUUAAGUCAGUUGUGAAAGUUUCCGGCUCAACCGUGAAAUUGCAAUUGAUACUGGCAGUCUUGAGUGCAGUUGAGGUAGGCGGAAUUCGUGGUGUAGCGGUGAAAUGCUUAGAUAUCACGAAGAACCCCGAUGGCGAAGGCAGCUUACUAAACUGUGACUGACAUUGAUGCUCGAAAGUGUGGGUAUCAAACAGGAUUAGAUACCCGUGUAGUC